RNAcentral lists this long non-coding RNA (240 nucleotides) under Gallus gallus (chicken). The record is from RNAcentral. Lineage: Eukaryota; Metazoa; Chordata; Aves; Galliformes; Phasianidae.
UUCAGUAAGGCUGGGGACAGUUUCAGUUUCCUUACUGCAGCACCUCAGAAAAGAUUUCUUUCCCAUCUAAGUAAGGAUCUGGUAUGCUGGAGUCCUGUUCAUGAUGCACUGUGGGACAUCAUUGCAUUGUUGCUUUUUUUAACUGUUUUAAAACCUGAAUGGAUCAGUCUGGCUGGGAAAAGCAUAAAAGCGGCUCCAUCUGCUCCAUAUGUUAGCAAAGAACAACAUCCUGAGAUAAAG